GAAAUAAGGUAAUCAAAAGAAAGCUUCUAACUUCUCUUUUUGGCAGUGAAAUUCUGUUAUUAUUUCU
RNAcentral lists this transfer RNA (67 nucleotides) under Paromalus flavicornis. Its description in RNAcentral is "tRNA-Ser". Lineage: Eukaryota; Metazoa; Arthropoda; Insecta; Coleoptera; Histeridae. The record is from RNAcentral.